RNAcentral lists this ribosomal RNA (497 nucleotides) under uncultured bacterium. RNAcentral describes it as "partial 16S ribosomal RNA". It matches the Rfam family "Bacterial small subunit ribosomal RNA", at positions 28 to 507 of the family's 1533-position model. The record is from RNAcentral.
GUUGAACGCUGGCGGCGUGCCUAAUACAUGCAAGUCGAGCGAACGGACGAGGAGUAUGCUCCGCUGAUGUUAGCGGCGGACGGGUGAGUAACACGUGGAUAACCUACCUAUAAGGCUGGGACAUAUUGGGGAAACGGGUGCUAAUACCGGAUGAUAUUUUGAACCACAUGGUUCCCAAGUGAAAUACGGUCUUGCUGUCACUUAUAGAUGGAUCCGCGCUGCAUUAGCUAGUUGGUAAGGUAACGGCCUACCAAGGCAACGAUGCGUAGCCGACCUGAGAGGAUGAUCGGCCACACUGGAACUGAGACACGGUCCAGACUCCUACGGGAGGCAGCAGUGGGGAAUUUUCGGCAAUGGGCGAAAGCCUGACGGAGCAAUGCCGCGUGAGUGAUGAAGGUCUUCGGGUUGUAAAGCUCUGUUAGCAGGGAAGAAAAGAUGCGUGAUUAACUGUCCACAUCCUGACGGUACCUGAAGAGAAAGCAACGGCUAACUACGUG